UCCCCCGGCGUCCCCCUCCCCGGAGCCGCCCGCGGUUGUGUGGGGAAAAAGCGGGGCUGCGAGGAGCCACCGGAGGCCGCCGGGACCCUCCAGACGCCCUCGGGGACGCAGGUGAGGGCGGGAGGCGGCCGGUCCAUUCGCCUCAGGGCGGCGAGGUGCUGCGAAGGUCUCGCCGCGGGCUGCGCCACACAACGGGGUGGUGAGGAGGCGGGAAUCCGGGGUGCCGCGGCACCGCUGAAGGUGAGCCCUGGAAUCAAAGGCGGGGGGGUGGGAGGAGAUUAAAUUAGUGAUAAUUUGUGUGGAAAUGGAAAUUAAAUAACUUGACUGUAGUGCUGUAUCUCGGGCUUGUGGUUUUGGAAACGCGGGGUGUCGCGCUGGGACAGGUGCAACUGAUACCGGAGGAAGCAAGAUGGCGCCCAGAGCUGAGAGAGGAGCUGCGGGCUGGCUGUACCUGGCUGCUCAGCGUUGGGGCAGAGGGGUGUGCGGUGGCAGGGGCAGUUACCGCAGCGAAGCAGGGUGGGCUGCUCCACGUUACAAAUUUGUAGGUUCUUGAAGAAGAAUUGGCAGUAGCGCUGUUACUGGGCAGGGUUGGAUUAAAAGUCACAAAAAAAAAAAGGCUGGCAGGUGGUACCAGUUUCAUUCUCCUUGUUCUUGGUUUUUGCAGUACUUAAAAGGAAUGAUGGCUAAACGUCUACCUAACAAUACAAAGGGCAAAAAGAAAUGGUAGCAAUAGCAGAGCCUGGGUGAAAAUACCAGUGUUGGUUCAACAAAUCAGAUGGUUCUCUCCUCUGCCUCCCCAGAUUGUGGAGGAUCAGACUGUGGUAUUGGGGCCAUCACCAAAAGAAAUGCACCCUGAGGUGGUCAUGGGUUGGUAUGGGCAGAUCUUUGCUUAUAAAGAAACAUGAUUAAUGUGUAAAUAUUGAUAUUGGCUGUACUUUCCCAACUGUGCUUAAAGCAUGUAGCUUAACUUCUGUUUUAAAGCAGAAAAGUAUUGGAAACCUCUGUGUUUUUCAAACUUUGAAAAUUAGCCUUUUCCCAAUGGUAGUUGUACUGGUUUUGGCUGGGAUAGAGUUAGUUUUCCUCGUAGUAGCUGUGUGCGGUGCUGUGUUUUGGAUUUGUGAUGUAAAUAGUGUUGAUAGCACAGGCAUGUUUUAGGUAUUGCUGAGCAGUGCCUGCACAGAAUCAAGCCUUUCCUGUUUCUCGUGCUGCCCCACCAGCAAGUGGGCUUGGGGUGUGCAAGAAGCUGUGAGGGGGCACAGCUGGGGCAGCUGACCCCAACUGACCAAAGGGAUAUCCCACACCAACCAUAUGGCCAUGUUGCUCAGCAAUAAAAGCUGGGGGAGACAUUCAGAGUGGUGGCAUUUAUCUUCCCAAGUCCUAUGUGUGAUGGAGCCCUACUUUCCUGGAGAUGGCCGAACACCUGCUUGCUGAUGGGAGGUAGAGAAUGAAUGCUUUUGCUUUGCUUGUGUGUGUGGCUUUUGCUUUAACAAUGAAACUGUCUUUAUCUCAAACCACAAGUUUUCUCGGUUUUACCCUUCUGAUUCUCUUCCCCAUCCCACAGUGGUGGGAGGGAGUGAGCAAGUGAGUGAGCAGCUGUGUGGGGUUUAGCUGUGUACCAGGUUUAAACCAUGACAUUGGGUUAUUAAGCAACCUAUGAGGUAAUGCUUAGUAAGGUUUUUAACUUUUUUUCAUAUGGCUAGCCAGAGACCAUGUUUCUCUUCCCAGUUCAUAGUGCACUUAAUGAAGUCUGUUUCUGUCUGUGUGUUAGUGUUUCUGGCAUCUCCUGGAACUCUGGGUUAUGGAAUAGAACAGAAUUCAGGGAUGGCAAUUAAUUUUUCCUGACCUUUGUGUUAUCUCCAGUUUGCCUAAAUGAUGUAGUUGUUAUGAUACAGCUGUUGAAAAUAAUUUGCAGACUACAGUAGAGCUAAGAGCAACACUAUCUGUGUAAUUCCUGGGGAACAAGACCUCCUCAGAUUUGCUCUAUCUUGGUGUCAAAAUUUAUGUUUCUUUCUAACACUUGUGUUCUGUUGACUUGUUAGUCUUGACUAAGUGUGUUACUUUAGAAACAGGAUAUGCAGGAAAAAAAAAAAGAAGCUUGUGUGAAUAUAUUCUAUAGAUACAGAGUUUAAGGUAUGUGCAUGUAAAUAGGAUGCUCCAUGAAGACUGCAUUUUGUGAGGUUGUGUAGGUUGACUAAAAGUGCUACUUUUACCUUUUUAUUUUCAGCAAAUUAGCUUUGCCUAAUGGAGAACAAAUGUAUUCUUUGACAUGGAAGUCAAGAACAAUACUGCAUUAUAGUGUUACUUUUUUAAAAGUUCAGCAGAUAAAAAUGUUCUAUUUAUUAUGUUGCAGAGGUGAUGUAAAGAAGCAGAAAAGGUAUUAAUAACUGUUCUCCAGUUGUGUCAUGAGUAUUUGGAAAUGCUGAGACAGGUUGAAGGCAUGUGGGCACUGGUUUUCUGAAGGGGAUGCUUGGCAGCCUACACAGACCCCAUAUGGGCAUCUAGGCUUACCAAGACUGAGUGGGUUCCUUCCCCUGGCAGUGCUGACAUUCAGUGUGGUCUUGGCUUCAGUGAGGGCUAAGUGCGAACCUGAGGCUUUGUUUUCAUGCAUGCUGGUACCUAAUCACUGGGCCAGUCACAUGGGUUGGACUUUGCAGGGUUUCUGCCCACCUUACAUAAUGUGUAUUUAACUGCGUCCUAUAAAAUGAAACUUUGAUUCAGGGAACUGAGAGCGCCUUUUAUUUUUGGUCAACUUGCUUAAAACCUGAUUAGAGAAGUCACGUAAGGAAGGGGUACAAAUUCCAGGCCCUGCAAAAAUGAAAGUUAAUUUUACAGUAACAAACUCCCAGCUGUAUUCCAUCACUGCUGGGCUGUUUAAUUAAAAGGAGAUACUGGUGUCAUGUCCUCCUCAGGCAGGAGAGAAAGAGAGACCAUGCGUGUGUGUGUGUGCAUGCACUGGUUAGUGAAAAUGAGUUUUUUAGAUCAUUCCCUUUGCAAUAGAAGUGCUCAGAGCAAGUCAGAGUUAAAAGAUUACUUCUUUUUUUUUUGCUGAUGAAAAUACUGUGGAUUUGCUAGAGGGGAGAAAAGAAAACCAAAAUGAAAAAACAAAACCCUUAAGCUUUUGAAAACUUGUUUAUACAAACUUUUAGAUACAUUGCUUGUCAUGCUGUCUUAAAUUUCUAAGACCUCUUUGAGCUAUGAUGGAAUUUAGAGUGAAAGUCAAAGAUUUUAAGAGGUCAUACCAGUUAUCAGUGUUGUACCUACUAGAUGCCUUUUCCAGGCACAUGCUGAUGCUAAACAGAGUGCAGCGCAGAGUCUGUUUCUGUGCAUGGGGGAAUUACAUAGCACAGACUGGAGCUGUGUAGCUUAGAAAACACUGUGAUGGUGUCAGCUGCUUCCCUAAAAAACUCAUUUGUCCAAAGUGCUGCUUCGGCAGCUCACCAAAAGGCCACCUUUUUUUUUUAUUUUGAUCCUUUUUUUCAGGCAUUGUGCAGGUGGGGGCAAAAACUAUGCAAACAAAUAGGUGAGACAAACAUACAAAGGAAUGAAUUAAUUUGUAGCUGCCACACCUGCACCAGCAAGGUUGUAACAUCUCCUAGGCUAAGGGGGAGGUUGUCACCACUCCUGAGAAGGUUCCCAGGCCACUGUUGUGGCCAGCAGAGAGCAGGCAUUGGGCAGGAAAGGGUAGUUCUGAGGUUCCUGCUGCCCCAAGCUGUCAUCUUCCUUUGUAUACUAUCCCCCAGGUAAGUUAUGUAUUAAAUACUUGCAAUAGUCUUCCAGCAUUUAUUGUUAACUGAGAACUAAUGCAGUCAUGUUUAGCACAAGACCUGGAUCCAGCAUUUCGACUUCCUGAGUGCUCCACAGCAGGGCCUUGUUUUGUCCUUCUCUCUUGAUUAAUUUUGAAUUAUUUUCUGCACAAUCAUUUCUAGAAAUCAGGUGUGCAAAAUGUAUUGGAUCCCAUACAGGGCAACAGAGCUGGUGAAGGGCUGGAAGGAGCAGCUGAGCAUUCUGGGUUUGUCUAGUUGGAGAGGAGGCUGCAUCCUAGACCUGCAUUUUAUGCCUUUGCUCCAAGUUCAUGGGCAUACAGGCUGGGAUACAUCUAGAGCAGUCUGUUUCAUGUCUUCUGUCCCGCCUCCAGCUUCAACUGAAACAGAUAAAAUCUUUCACUUUUGUGAAGGGUUCUAUGGAAGUUAAUGGCACCACAGAGAAAUGAUGGCCUCUCGGAUAUUUGCACCCAAAAGAACAAGACACUUCUUGUUGCUCGUUUCUAAAGCAGAACACUCUUCAAAACUGCAUCAGGAGAACAAGGACCACCUCUAUCCCAGCACAGCUCCACAGCUUCCCCAAAGCAAUGCCAAACUCCUCCUCCCAUUAAAUCCAGUACUGUUUCCACUUCUGUACCAUCCAACCAUUAUAAUUAAUUCACAAAUCACUGCUCCAGGACAAGUGCAUUCUGCAUUCAUACCCUAACAAUGUCUGCCUGCUACCACCACUAUGCCAUAGGAUGCACCUGUGCCUAUCUCCUGCUACUACUGUGCUCUACAUACAGAUAACAUGGUAUAAAUGCCACAUUGCUAAAACUGAGGGUGAGAUUAGGGUGAGAUACUUUAUUGUUUUAAAGAAAAACCAGCGCAGAGAAGUACCAGAGACAGAGCAAGCUUAAUUGAAUCUGUGCAGUCAAAUUAUUCAAGGUCUUCUCAUCAAGAUAAGUAUCAAGAAAGCCUCCCUUAACUACAACAGUAGAAGCAAUAUUUUCCUCAUAGUAAUUUGGAUUCGCAUGCUUAGUGUUACACUUAGAUUUGCAUGCUCAAUUACUCAGCAUGCACAGCAGCAUGGUGCGCCAUGGGAUGAGAUGGGAAUGUUGUUAGAGAGCCUGGAACUCUGACUCUCGACUGCUUGUAAUGGACCUUUCAUUAGAAAUUUAAGAACCUGCAGUUCUCCAGCACUGAGUUCUGCUCUUUGAGGUCUGUAAUGUUCCGAACUAUUUGUAGGAUAGCUAUAUAUUUAAGCCAGCUGCAGAAUGCAUAUAUAUCCAGUGCUUUCAACUACAGUAUACUAUUUGCUGUUAUGGUUUACUGUAGGCACUCACCCUCUGGAGAUAAUGAUUAUUAGAUAAACGCACUAUAUUAACAGCUAAGCUAGGCAGAAAACCUGUGUCUUGACUUCCAGUUCUCAGAAGGUUUGUUACAUAAGUAUUUAAAAAAAAAAAAACGUACUUAUGCUACAACAGAACCCAGUGGUGACUCAAGAUACUUAAGUGAUACUUGUAGUUCAAAUUAAACAAUAAGAAACUUCCAUAUUGCAAUAUGUAAUCACUAGAUUGUGUAGUUUACUUAACAGUUGCGUUAUGUGGCAAAACUUGGAUUUCUUUUUUUCUUUACCAUGAUAUCACUUAAACUGAAAAUAAAUUUAAUGGAAAUUCCUUCCACAACCCCCAAGAAAUCCAAACUGCUUAAAUCUCUGUCCUGCAGCCCUUGCUUGUUUGCCUCAGCAGUAACAACUAGAAGGGAUUCAGUAAUCCAGCAUUAUUAUUGCAUGGACUGCAGAAAAGAUACAGACCGAGUCUUGCCUGAACUUCAGAGUGUAACAUACAGAAACUUUCCCUUUUACAUAUAAAUCUGCACUGAUGAAGUCUGAAUAACUCUAGCUCUAUUAGGCCAACUCUCCAGCUUACAGAGUACAAA
Molecule: long non-coding RNA, 5681 nt
Organism: Aquila chrysaetos chrysaetos
Lineage: Eukaryota; Metazoa; Chordata; Aves; Accipitriformes; Accipitridae
Exons: 3
Source: RefSeq, a predicted model, not a curated record